Long non-coding RNA from Gordionus sp. m RMFG-2023, 473 nucleotides. RefSeq lists it as uncharacterized. The transcript has 3 exons. The record is from RefSeq and is a predicted model, not a curated record. NCBI's taxonomy places the organism in Eukaryota, Metazoa, Nematomorpha, Gordioida, Chordodea, Parachordodidae.
UCUUAAAUGUUUUUAUUUUCAGACGUCAAUUUAAUGCCUAUAAUAGUUUUUGAAUCCUUAAUAUAAAAUAAUUUAAUAAAACUUAAAUAAAAUUAUUUUUUCACAGUCAAUACUAUAUCAAAAUCGUUUACUCAUAUAUUAUUACCCCAACUCAUUUUAUACGACUUAUUCCUAACUUAUUGCAACAAAGACCUAUCACUGAGAUUUCUUCAAUUAAUAAACACCAAAAUAAAGAUUCCAAUAAUUUUUUAACUGAUCUAGUUCAAGAUACAUCUACAUAUAAAAUAAUGGUGGAGAACUUUCAGGAGAUGGUGCUAUCGGGUCAUGAGAAUAAUUACUAUAUGGGUUACCAAAAUGGCGGGUCCAGCUGAUUUGUAUUCAGGGAACACUUUUAAAAUGCAUUAUUAUGAACGCAUUGUCAGUCUAGGUAUUAUAAUAUAUCAUUGAUUCUAACUAACUUUCACUUUCCCUUA